This 2276-nucleotide long non-coding RNA is filed under the name Limulus polyphemus (Atlantic horseshoe crab). RNAcentral's name for it is "uncharacterized LOC111089708". Lineage: Eukaryota; Metazoa; Arthropoda; Merostomata; Xiphosura; Limulidae. The record is from RNAcentral.
GAUUCCAGCACCUGUAACCUCACCACAGACCCGUUCAACACCCAAAACUCUUCAGCCUAAGCCUGAAAAACUGUGGAACGGUCAUUCACACAACAUUGUAGCUAAGCCUAACGAAAACGGGGUCACAACCGAUGAAAUAGAAAAGGUCUCGUUAUCUUACGUCAUUCAGCUUACGUCAUCAACAACUCACUCCGUUGUUUCCGAAAAAAGUACACUUCCCGACUCGGCGUCGUCUGUCUCAUCUCCGCAGGUCCUCUCAGUGUUCCUGGUUAUUGUUACUUGGUUACGCCAUUAAACAGUGUUUGUCAAGAACUUGGAACUCAGAAAGCUGAGAAAAGCACUUUUCAGACAGUGCCGACGAAGGAAGAGCUACGAGUAGGAGCCUGUCAUUGUUAUUUGAAAGUGUUGAUUGACAGACAAGAAAAAUUAGAAAAGCUUACUUCUGGUAUGUGCCAAAGUUAACAAAGAAGACAAGCUACUACCGCGACAUCUGGUGUUGCUCAAACUGGACUCGUAUUAAAAUAGCUUAAAACAAAAUUUAAUCAUCUGAGUUUUUCAUUUUCUAAAGUUUCUUUCUAUUCAGUCCUAACGUUCUUUGAUAGACUUGUAUCGACUAGGAACUAACAAAUAUACGCUUCGAAUACAGUCUGGUUUUUGAGACGUAACUGAGAUGUCGUCCUGAAUGUAUGUGUCAGAAGAACAAGUUCUAAUAAUUCUUUAAUCACUUCUUGGAUGUCGAUUUAAGGGACUGUCUUAAUCUCGAAACAUUAUCUCACGUUACGUUUGAUGUGCAAAAAUUAUUAUAUGUCAACUAUUCUUCUGAAAUUUCUAAUGGAGCUUUCUAGGAUUGUCCUCUAAGUUAUUCAUUAUCACGUGCUUCAAAAAUCUCUAAACCAACAGGAAUAAAAAACACCAUUUAACAGAAAGAAUCUCGUGCUGUUAGUAAUGUGUCAAUGAGAAACUUAAAGAACUUCAAGUAUCCAGACCACUAAUAUAUGGACAGUCCAUCCUGUAUCCCCUUACAAAUACGUAAUUCGCAAGUUUUCUUCUAGUAUCUUCAAUUAACUUUUUUUAUCCUCAACUUUGUGAAAGAAAAUAGUGAAACUUAUUGUAUUAUUGUAAGCCCCACUCCGUUCUUCGAUUCGCCAAUUUGCAUCGAAUCAAGCUUAGGUUCGAGGAUUUAAAUUCCUUCUUAGUAAUCCUGAACACUAGCAGAUGGAACAUAGUGACAAGCCUUAAUGGUUGUGAACUACACGUGUUUUAGAAUCAAUGUAGGUUAUUAAUAGUGAAUAUUGACAUAAAAAACUCCUGGUAUCUUUCAAGAGCAUCCUAUUGCUAAUCCUAGAAUUCCAAAACCAGCCAGCCACAGGAAAUAUCUUGUUUUUAAUCUUGGAAUUCUCUAACCUCCUGUCCAUAUGAAGUAUCCUAUUGCUAGCUUUGGAAUUCCCUAACCUGCCAUCCACAAGAAAUAUCCUACUUGUAACCUUGGAAUCCCGUAAACCAUCAAUUUGGUGUAUCCUAUUGUUAAUCUUGGAAUCCAUACAUCUGCCAUCCAUAUAAAGUAUCCUAUUUUUAACUUUGGAAUACAAUAACCUACUAUCCAUUUGAAGUAUCCUAUUGUAAACCAUCAAUUUGAUGUAUCCUAUUGUUAAUCUUGGAAUCCAUACAUCUGCCAUCCAUAUAAAGUAUCCUAUUGCUAACCUUGGAAUACCCUAACCUAUCAUCCAUAUGAAGUAUCCUAUUGCUAACCUUGGAAUACCCUAACCUAUCAUCCAUAUGAAGUAUCCUAUUGCUAACCUUGGAAUACCCUAACCUAUCAUCCAUAUGAAGUAUCCUAUUGCCAACCUUUUGAAAUCCCCAUCUUGAUCCAUUAAGUGAUUCAUUCUUUUUGAGUGAUUUGAAAUUCUCUCUCCUACGUAUCAUCAAGAAACUCAGUAAAGGUCAUUUUAGUAUAUUUGAAAUCGGUGUCAAACCAUCUAGACUACGUAAUCAAUAUUGUUUAUCCAAUUCUGAGAUUAUACUGCUCAUAAUCUUAAAUAAAUCUCUCACAAUAAUCCCGAGGAUCAAUAAGGCAAGACUCUCUAUUAUUAGCUUACAAUUUCGUUUUGGUUAUGUAAAUAUUUCUUUCUGUUCAAUUUUUACCAAACUUUAGAUUAAAAAAAAGGUUUGUGGAUCCAGUUUAUCUGCAAUUACCUUAUAUGUCCUUAUAAACUUCUAAUUUGUUUAAUCGUGACUGAAAGAAACCAUUCCUAAAUUUUUAUGUUUCGUAAAAAAGU